GGUCGGUUAGCUCAGUUGGUUUAGAGCGUGGUGCUAAUAGAUCUGUCCUUGAUACGCCAAGGUCGCGGGUUCGACCCCCGUACUGACCA
Non-coding RNA from Neocucurbitaria cava, 89 nucleotides. The record is from the annotation of a GenBank genome assembly. Lineage: Eukaryota; Fungi; Ascomycota; Dothideomycetes; Pleosporales; Cucurbitariaceae.